This 497-nucleotide ribosomal RNA is filed under the name uncultured bacterium. RNAcentral's name for it is "partial 16S ribosomal RNA". It matches the Rfam family "Bacterial small subunit ribosomal RNA", at positions 28 to 507 of the family's 1533-position model. The record is from RNAcentral.
GAUGAACGCUGGCGGCGUGCCUAAUACAUGCAAGUCGAGCGAACAGACGAGGAGCUUGCUCCUCUGAUGUUAGCGGCGGACGGGUGAGUAACACGUGGAUAACCUACCUAUAAGACUGGGAUAACUUCGGGAAACCGGAGCUAAUAACGGAUAACAUGUUGAACCGCAUGGUUCAACAGUGAAAGACGGUCUUGCUGUCACUUAUAGAUGGAUCCGCGCCGCAUUAGCUAGUUGGUAAGGUAACGGCUUACCAAGGCAACGAUGCGUAGCCGACCUGAGAGGGUGAUCGGCCACACUGGAACUGAGACACGGUCCAGACUCCUACGGGAGGCAGCAGUAGGGAAUCUUCGGCAAUGGGCGAAAGCCUGACGGAGCAACGCCGCGUGAGUGAAGAAGGUCUUCGGAUCGUAAAACUCUGUUAUUAGGGAAGAACAAAUGUGUAAGUAACUAUGCACGUCUUGACGGUACCUAAUCAGAAAGCCACGGCUAACUACGUG